ACGAACGCUGGCGGCGUGCUUAACCCCUGCCAGUCGAACGGAAAGGCCCUGCUUGCAGGGUACUCGAGUGGCGAACGGGUGAGUAACACGUGGGUGAUCUGCCCUGCACUUCGGGAUAAGCCUGGGAAACUGGGUCUAAUACCGGAUAUGACCUUCCAUGUAGUGUGGGGGGUGGAAAGAUUUAUCGGUGUGGGAUGAGCCCGCGGCCUAUCAGCUUGUUGGUGGGGUAAUGGCCUACCAAGGCGUCGACGGGUAGCCGGCCUGAGAGGGUGGACGGCCACAUUGGGACUGAGAUACGGCCCAGACUCCUACGGGAGGCAGCAGUGGGGAAUAUUGCACAAUGGGCGGAAGCCUUAUGCAGCGACGCCGCGUGGGGGAUGACGGCCUUCGGGUUGUAAACCUCUUUCGACAGGGACGAAGCUUCGGUGACGGUACCUGUAUAAGAAGCACCGGCUAACUACGU
Molecule: ribosomal RNA, 463 nt
Filed under: uncultured bacterium
Lineage: Bacteria
Description: partial 16S ribosomal RNA
Rfam family: Bacterial small subunit ribosomal RNA
Source: RNAcentral